This 334-nucleotide unclassified non-coding RNA is filed under the name uncultured soil eukaryote. RNAcentral's name for it is "sequence contains ITS2". The record is from RNAcentral.
CAAUCAAACCCAGCGACUUGCUUUAUUGUGAGUGCAGCUGAAAAUUGAGUGUCUCACGAAAGUGUGUCACCUUAAGCGGAGCGAGUCUCCUUUUCUCUAGCGCCUGAUAAGAGUUCAUUCUCUUGUCUAGCCUGAGUCUAAGUUUUGCUUAUGCAAACUAAGCCUGCUAGUGAUGCGGAUAAUCACGCUUAUGUGUGUUCCAACAUGACUUUCAGGGGUAGUGAGUUGAGCAAAGGACUUUAGUGUCAGCUGGAUUCGGUGCGAAAACGCAAGAGAUCUGUGUUAGACGGACUGAGGACCCGUAGCGAUACGCGGAACUCAAUCACUCUUUGAC